This 253-nucleotide ribosomal RNA is filed under the name uncultured bacterium. Its description in RNAcentral is "partial 16S ribosomal RNA". It matches the Rfam family "Bacterial small subunit ribosomal RNA", at positions 524 to 776 of the family's 1533-position model. The record is from RNAcentral.
UACGAAGGGGGCUAGCGUUGCUCGGAAUCACUGGGCGUAAAGGGUGCGUAGGCGGGUCUUUAAGUCAGGGGUGAAAUCCUGGAGCUCAACUCCAGAACUGCCUUUGAUACUGAAGAUCUUGAGUUCGGGAGAGGUGAGUGGAACUGCGAGUGUAGAGGUGAAAUUCGUAGAUAUUCGCAAGAACACCAGUGGCGAAGGCGGCUCACUGGCCCGAUACUGACGCUGAGUCACGAAAGCGUGGGGAGCAAACAGG